RNAcentral lists this long non-coding RNA (764 nucleotides) under Salmo salar (Atlantic salmon). Its description in RNAcentral is "lncRNA (ENSSSAG00000107041.1, ENSSSAG00075005871.1)". The record is from RNAcentral. Lineage: Eukaryota; Metazoa; Chordata; Actinopteri; Salmoniformes; Salmonidae.
GUGUUAUUUUGUGUCAUGUAUUUUUGUAGUAGUGAGCCUACGGGUAUUGUUGCCCAUGUUAUUUUAUGUACAUUUUGGUUUUGAAGUUCGUUGUUUGUUUAUUAUUUUAUUAAAACAACUCCAGUGAUACAGAGUUGGUUUCUCCUGCGCCUGACUUCCCUGCCACCUACACACACGGCGAUGACACUAUCCAACACAACAGUGGAACUCUUCCAAGUCCAGCCCCUGCACAAACCGCAACACCAGCCCCAACCCCUGCUGGACAUUAACCAGAAUUCCAUGGUGACCAUGAAACUACUAGUCCUAGUGAUGUGCCUGAUUGGACUUUGUUCUUCCAUUCCUGUGUCUGAGGAACAUGAUCGAGAGGAGCGCUCAGCUAGUGAUGAGAUGUUCAGGGGUAAUGGGCGUGGUUUGGGAGGGUUUUACCGCUAUCAGCCGCCACAGUACCCAUCAUACUUCCCUUAUGCCCAGCCUCCCCAAAGUAACUCCGCCCUGAUGGCCCUCCUGCCCUUCCUAUUGGCCAGACUCGCUGCCACUCCUGCCGCAACUCCUGCUGCAGCUCCCGCCCCCGCCCCAGCUCCUGCCGCAGCCACACCAGCCCCAGCAGCGGGUGGAAAAUGAGAUGGGCGACGCCAGAGGAACCAGAGAGAACUCUGACUCCCAUGUCUCCACCUUGUUUAUUUCAAAUAUGUUGAUAUUAGCUGCUGUUCAAAGCUGAUUAUUCCAUUAUCAAUAAAUGAAUUAAGUUUUAAGAUCCGUCAUUG